CCACCACCCACCCAGCCCUCCCUAUCACCGUUAAACCGCCGCCUAGCCCUCCCAAAGCCCCGCCCUGCCCCUUCCCGUCGCUGCCCUUCCCCUCUCCCCGCAAAUCUGCCCCUCCCCGCCCCUCGCAAAUGAAUUUAUUUGAAUUUGAAAUGAUUUGCAGUUUGUUUGAUAUUUGAAAGUUGAUUUAGGAUGUUUAGUGUACGAAAACAUUUUAGAUCUGAGGUAUUUGGUUGUAUUAAUAUGUUGUGUUCUGAUGAUUGAAGUUUUGAUUGAGUUUGUCUAGAUCUAAUUAUGUUGGCAUAGAGUUGAGUAUUUCUGGGCAGCGACGGGAAUACUGGGAUCCAUUCGUGGCUAGGCUUCAUUCGUGGCUGAGGGAGGAUUUGCGAGGGGCGGGGACGGCCGGCGAAGGGAGGCGCACGGUGAGGGAGCAGCGGCGAGGGGUUUGGUGGCUGGGUGGUGGCUGGAAACGGUGGAGAGUGAAAGUGUAGGUGGCUGUGUGGUGGUGGUGUGGUGGUGGGGCUCAUUCUCUUUGUUAUAAAACAAACAGCAUACACAAUUUUAGGUGGAUAACUAUUGGAUAAGGUCAACACCUUCGUUGUGCACCAUUACUAAUAGUCCAAUCAAAAUUUAAUUUUGGAAUAGGCAAGGUGUAACUUGGUCAUUCUCCUCCUAUGUAAUAAGCAUGCCUAGAGAAUAGGAGAUAAUAUUGCAAAUGGAAAAACAUGUUAGCAUGGCUACCAAAACCUCAAACUCCACCACCAAAAGAACAUGCCUUUGCUCUCCUACCACCCAUCAAGGCUCUUUCCGGUGCAGCUUCCACCGCGGCCGACGAAAGUUUCCGAUGAGAUCUCCACCAGCAAAGCCCAAAUUCAGGAAAAUUGAGCCCAACAGUGCCAUAAAGACCAACCUGUUGAAGGCCUUAUUGUUACAGAUUAUCAACCCAUCAAGACAUGACCUCCAAAGGCGUUGGCGCUUUAAGCACAAGCCCACCAGGUUUAGCCUAUCUUAGAAUAACAAUACACUUUUGGUUAGGUGAUUGUUUUUUUACACAAAAAUUAUAAAUGUUCCUCUAUUUUAUUUUUGUUAUCUUUGUUAAAUUUUGAGGAGUUCAAAGAUAUAUUGUAAGACUCCUAUAAGAGUAUUGAUUUUGUUUUUUUGUAUUUUUAUUGGUAUACAUUACAAUUUACAAACACAACUGAAUUUUUAUGGAAUAUCUUUGUUUGUUU
Molecule: long non-coding RNA, 1226 nt
Organism: Chenopodium quinoa (quinoa)
Lineage: Eukaryota; Viridiplantae; Streptophyta; Magnoliopsida; Caryophyllales; Amaranthaceae
Exons: 2
Source: RefSeq, a predicted model, not a curated record